GUGACAGCCGCCGCGGUAAGACAGAGGGUGCAAACGUUGCUCGGAAUCACUGGGCGUAAAGGGCGUGUAGGCGGGAAAGUAAGUCGGGCGUGAAAUCCCCAGGCUCAACCUGGGAACUGCACUCGAAACUACUUUCCUUGAGUGUCGGAGAGGAAAGCGGAAUACCUGGUGUAGAAGUGAAAUUCGUAGAUAUUAGGAAGAACACCAGUGGCGAAGGCGGCUCACUGGCCCGGUACUGACGCUGAGGCGCGAAAGCGUGGGGAGCAAACAGGAUUAGAAACCCCUGUAGUCC
Molecule: ribosomal RNA, 292 nt
Filed under: uncultured bacterium
Lineage: Bacteria
Description: partial 16S ribosomal RNA
Rfam family: Bacterial small subunit ribosomal RNA
Source: RNAcentral